ACGGGUGAGGAAUACAUCGGAAUCUACUUUUUCGUGGGGGAUAACGUAGGGAAACUUACGCUAAUACCGCAUACGACCUACGGGUGAAAGCAGGGGACCUUCGGGCCUUGCGCGAUUGAAUGAGCCGAUGUCGGAUUAGCUAGUUGGCGGGGUAAAGGCCCACCAAGGCGACGAUCCGUAGCUGGUCUGAGAGGAUGAUCAGCCACACUGGAACUGAGACACGGUCCAGACUCCUACGGGAGGCAGCAGUGGGGAAUAUUGGACAAUGGGCGCAAGCCUGAUCCAGCCAUACCGCGUGGGUGAAGAAGGCCUUCGGGUUGUAAAGCCCUUUUGUUGGGAAAGAAAUCCAGCCGGCUAAUACCUGGUUGGGAUGACGGUACCCAAAGAAUAAGCACCGGCUAACUUCGUGCCAGCAGCCGCGGUAAUACGAAGGGUGCAAGCGUUACUCGGAAUUACUGGGCGUAAAGCGUGCGUAGGUGGUUGUUUAAGUCUGUUGUGAAAGCCCUGGGCUCAACCUGGGAACUGCAGUGGAAACUGGACGACUAGAGUGUGGUAGAGGGUAGCGGAAUUCCUGGU
RNAcentral lists this ribosomal RNA (576 nucleotides) under uncultured Stenotrophomonas sp. RNAcentral's name for it is "bacterial SSU rRNA". It matches the Rfam family "Bacterial small subunit ribosomal RNA", at positions 102 to 674 of the family's 1533-position model. Lineage: Bacteria; Pseudomonadati; Pseudomonadota; Gammaproteobacteria; Lysobacterales; Lysobacteraceae. The record is from RNAcentral.